RNAcentral lists this non-coding RNA (23 nucleotides) under Arabidopsis thaliana (thale cress). The record is from RNAcentral. Lineage: Eukaryota; Viridiplantae; Streptophyta; Magnoliopsida; Brassicales; Brassicaceae.
GAUACGCGAAACCACGGAUCCGG